RNAcentral lists this long non-coding RNA (1205 nucleotides) under Chrysemys picta bellii (western painted turtle). Its description in RNAcentral is "lncRNA (ENSCPBG00000007205.1)". Lineage: Eukaryota; Metazoa; Chordata; Testudines; Emydidae. The record is from RNAcentral.
NNNNNNNNNNNNACAUUGAGAGGGAGGACAAUGAGAUAAGGACUGAUACAGCCAGGGGGAAGAGAUUGGACAUAAAGAGGAGUGGGGGGAUGGAUACCAGACUAAUAGGUCAUACCAGCAGUACGGUGUCCACAUCAAAUGGGAGAAUGAAUGUGAGAGAGGCCAAAAGGUAUAAAUUAUGAUGUUUAUACACCAAUGCGAGAAGCCUAGGUAACAAAAUGGAGGAAUUGGAGCUCCUGAUCCGAGAAAUGAAACCGGAUAUCAUAGGAAUAACUGAAACAUGGUGGAACGGUAGUCAUGACUGGAGUACAGGUAUGGAAGGGUAUGUGCUGUUUAGGAAAGACCGGAUCAAAGGUAAAGGUGGGGGAGUAGCAUUGUAUGUCAAUAAUGAGGUAAACUGUAAAGAAUUAAUAAGUGAUGGAAUGGAUAAGACGGAGUCUGUCUGGGAAAUACUCACAUUGGGUAAAAGAACUACUAGAGCCUCCCCUGGGAUAGUGCUUGGGGUGUGCUAUAGACCGCCGGGAUCUAGCCUGGAUAUGGACAGAGAACUCUUUAACAUUUUUAGGGAAGUAAAUACUAAUAGAAACUGUGUAAUCAUGGGAGACUUUAACAUCCCGGAUAUAGAUUGGGGAACAAAUGCUAGUAACAAUAAUAGGGCUCAGAUUUUCCUAGAUGUGAUAGCUGAUGAAUUCCUUCAUCAAGUAGUUGCUGAACUGACGAGGGGGGAUGCCAUUUUAGAUUUGGUGCUGGUGAGUAGUGAGGACCUAGUUGAGGAAAUGGUUAUAGGGGACAACCUUGGCUCGAGUGAUCAUGAGCUAAUUCAGUUUAAACUAAAUGGAAAGAUUAACAGAAUUAAAUCAGAGACUAAGGUUUACGAUUUCAAAAGAGCUAAUUUUAAUAAAUUAAGGGGACUGAUUAGGGAAGUGGAUUGGACUAACAUAUUUAGGGAUCUAAAGGCGGAAGGCGCCUGGGAUUAUUUCAAGUUGAAGUUGCAGGAGCUGUCGGAGGCCUGUAUCCCGAGAAAGGGAAAACGGUUCGUAGGCAGGAGAUUUAGACCUAGCUGGAUGAACAAGCAUCUCAGAGGGGUCAUUAAGAAAAAACAGAAAGCGUACAGGGAGUGGAAGAGGGGAGGGAUCAGCAAAGAACCUACCUUAUUGAGGUCAGAGCAUGUAGGGAUGGAGUGAGAAAAGCCAAAAGCUGAGUAG